RNAcentral lists this long non-coding RNA (2717 nucleotides) under Paramuricea clavata. Lineage: Eukaryota; Metazoa; Cnidaria; Anthozoa; Malacalcyonacea; Plexauridae. The record is from RNAcentral.
CAUGCAAAUAGCCAGUGAAGUAAUUUUAGCAAUAAUAUGUGAUAAUAGAGGUGGCAGAGCGCAAAUUACUAUAUAGGAAGAAGUCUCCCUCCGAGGGGAAGUUAUAAUUAUGUCCUUUCCGGUGACCUUGGGUUUUCUUGCUAAUCUAAGGUUGCAUCCAAGAUAUUUUUGCAUCUAGUGACUUCUAAGGGUGUUAGCGGCGCGAGGAGAGUAUUUGUUUUAAAUUUUCUGAAGGUUAAAUGGUCGGGUAUACGUAGCCAAAUAUUACAAAGUUUCAACUCACUUUCUAAAUUCUAAUGACCUAUUGCAUAUCAUAUACACGUCAGUUCUAUUUACAACAACACGUACUGAUAUAGGGAUUGGCAAACUAAAAGUUAAGCCUUUUGAACAAAACUGAUAAGCAUUGAUAUUUUUUAACGACACUGAUAAGCAUUGACAAAUAAAGUUAAGCUCGACAACGGUCUCUCAGUAGUUAGUUCAGUUGGUUAGAGCGCUCCACCGCCGACCGGGCAGGGCCGCAGGUUUGUUCCUGCCUGAGGUUGAUAUAUGUUGUAUUUUUCGCAACUGCUCAUGGUUAGGUUUAAUAAAUGUAUAAAGAUUCCACUCGAAAUUUCCAUCUACAAAUCCCUUCAACAUGCAAGUAGUUUUAUUGAGUGAGAUGCCCCAAAUCCUGAUAUUUCACUAUGCUUUUUAUCGACACGAGAUUUUAAAAGAUAUUCCUUGGAACAGUAAAGACUAAAGAUUUAAAACGUGAAAAAAUUUAACAUUUUCACAAGAUUUAAGAAAUCUUCCUUGACUACGUGUGAAAUAUAUACGUCGCCGAAAAUUUAAUAAUUAUGCUUUUACCCUGUAGAAAUCAAUUCUCACUGCUUAAUUUAUGAUACUCAACUAUACUCAAAUUUGGGCGCAUAGGAAAACAGUGUUCACUCAAUCUUGGGGGAUAUUUGAUUUUAUUCUGCAUCUUAAAAAUCCAAGAUAUAAGCUUAAGGACUAAAAUCAAGACGUAUUAAGAUAUAAGGACUAAAAUCCAGACGCCUGAUGUUUCGGCCUUUAUAUUCACUAGCAGCCUGAGGAUAAAAAUAGCAUGGAGGUAGCCUGCUGAUAGGAUGCGAUAAAGAGAAAAGUCUUCCCCUUUUGUAAUUAGCAUAAAAUGCGGCCCAACUGACACGAAGCUUAGUUAUGCACAGGCCAGUGCAUAAUGCGCAGUUUAACAGUGAGUAUAUAGCAGUAUUGAAGCAUUAGUAUCAUAAGUUGUGGUUGGCACUCGUCCCAUAUUUUAUCCUGCUUGAUCAUAAUAUAAUAAAAGGUAAGUUGAUUGAGCGAGCGAUCGAGGACUAUUCACGCAUGUUAUUGAGUUAGUUUACACUUAUUACAGUUACAUCCAUUGUAUAUAUAUAUAAUUAUAUGUAGCUUAAUGUAUAUUACAGGUUUCUAUAUACUUCUAAACAGAGAUGUAUUCUAAACCACUGGUAAUCACUAUCUUGGCUUUUUACAUUGCGCUUUCGUUUGCUCACAUAAUCAUGAAGGUAAGCUUUUCCUUAGUUGUAGCCAUAAUCUCUUGAUAGCUUUUAUUUUAAAGUACUAUUUACAACAUGGACGGUCGUGUAUCGUAAACCAUCAAGAAGUGCCAUUUUACCAACUUUAAACCGUCAUAAAAUGCGAAGCCGUGAAGGAUUUGCCGAAAUUCAUUUUCGUUUUCACGGCAGAAAUACUUGAAAUCAUGUCAAGAUUUGACACCAAUAACUCAAUAAGAAACAAUUUUGGGGUUAGGUGCACUUUUUAAAAUCUAGACUAGCAAUUCCCCCUCCGGUCCCCCUCCUUGGUCCCGAAUGUCCUAGGAAUAUCGCCCCGUCUUUGGGAAUUUUGCUUUCCCUUGCAAUCGCGCGAACAUAAGAGGCCAUAAGUUGGAAUCGUAAAUACCAUUCUUAUCUGGCAUGCAACAGCAAACAUAAUAUUUCGAACGCUUUUUUUUCGUCUCUAUCUGGUAACAUAUUUAACCGAGGCUAGUAAUUUAACUGUGGUCUGUGCAUAUUCUACUUUGUCCUUAUUUGGGAGCCUAAUAAUUUAGCUAACGAUCCUGGGCAAAUUUCCCCUCUCCAACUUGCCCCCCGCCCCCCUCCCCUCUGAGUUGCCCUGGUUAUUUUACUGCAUACAUAUAGGAAAAUACAGAAUACAUCAAUCUUCAAUUUUGGACAAAAACCCUUAAGACCGUUCCAGCGAAUAUUGCAAAGUUAAUGCACAUUGACAAAACAAACUUUGUCUGAACCCCCCCCCCCUCCCCAGUUUCAUGUCGCGUAAACAACGCCGAAACAAUUUUUGGUAAUUUAUCAUGACAAAAGCUCAACAUUGAGUUGGAGAAGCGGGGGUAUAAGUGCAUCGUAGCUCAACAUGGAAUUUUAAGGGGUAUGAGGGGAAAAUAGUCUUAAUCAGUUAUGUCCAAGAUUGUAGCUAGUAGUACGUAUAUAUAAUAGCCAAUGUGAUUAGUUGAAAAGAAGUUGUUCCUUACUGUAUAUGGCACAUGCACAAAGUCCUAAAUUGCCGGUCGUAUAUUUUAACAGAAAGUGGAUAUUUCAAAUGGGGUUGACCCAGGAAUAUGUAACAAGAGCAGUCGUGGUUUGGUAAAGUUGAUUAGAGAUCGUUCCAACAAUAAUGGACUAUUUAUUUGUUCCUAUCAAAUUGGCAAAUAUGUCUGGAGUACAAUGGACGGUAUGUUCCAG